Molecule: long non-coding RNA, 781 nt
Organism: Biomphalaria glabrata
Lineage: Eukaryota; Metazoa; Mollusca; Gastropoda; Planorbidae
Exons: 4
Source: RefSeq, a predicted model, not a curated record
UGACUGGGAAAGUCCUACAAAGAUAAACAUUUCCUACUGUGCAAUAAGGCUUGCUAUAAAUGUUGUCUUGUGUUUGGAUCGUAUAGAUAGAACUGGUUUCAUUCACACCACAACACUGUACGAUAGACGACAGCAAAAUGGGCAAGCUAUUGAUUUGUACAGCAAUAGUUUUUCUCGCCAUCAGCCUGAGCAUGGCGGCCCCUGCGGUCACAGAUCCAUGUCGCGGUGAGGCACUGAACGCCACGAUGGUCAGGUGCAUGACAGAGAACGGUUUCACUAUGGCGCAGAUCAGCAAAUUAAUUCCGUCUAAGCAGUGGCGCCAUCAGCUUCAGUGGAGCGGACUUCAGUGCUUUCUGUAACAAUAGAGAAGGCUACUACAAGGCUUCAAGCUGCAUUGUAGAUGAGAUGACCCGGUGUCAAUUAACAAAUGUUUUGAUCCAUCUCAAUAUAAACAACACUGCUAAGGCGAUGAAUAUGAUCUGCGAUGACCCCAGCUUCAAAACAGAUUGUAUGACGCUGCUGACCAAGGACCCGCUAGUGUUACAGUCCUGCUUGACCACUAAGUAUGACUUCGCUAAGGAGAUGGAGACGAAAUCCAUUCAACAAGUGACCUGUGAGAGUGCCAAGAUAGCUGUCCAGUGUUCCGUGGACAUCCUGAAGACCUGCGACCAGCAUACGGCCACUGUCUUUGGUUCCGCUCAAGAUCUGGUAGUGCCGUCAGUUUGCUGAUAAAAUGAUUAUGCUAUUAUAAUCAAAUUAUAUUUCAUUUUUUAAAACCAAA